CGAACGAACUCUGGUAUUGAUUGGUGCUUGCAUCAUGAUUUACAUUUGAGUGAGUGGCGAACUGGUGAGUAACACGUGGGAAACCUGCCCAGAAGCGGGGGAUAACACCUGGAAACAGAUGCUAAUACCGCAUAACAACUUGGACCGCAUGGUCCGAGCUUGAAAGAUGGCUUCGGCUAUCACUUUUGGAUGGUCCCGCGGCGUAUUAGCUAGAUGGUGGGGUAACGGCUCACCAUGGCAAUGAUACGUAGCCGACCUGAGAGGGUAAUCGGCCACAUUGGGACUGAGACACGGCCCAAACUCCUACGGGAGGCAGCAGUAGGGAAUCUUCCACAAUGGACGAAAGUCUGAUGGAGCAACGCCGCGUGAGUGAAGAAGGGUUUCGGCUCGUAAAACUCUGUUGUUAAAGAAGAACAUAUCUGAGAGUAACUGUUCAGGUAUUGACGGUAUUUAACCAGAAAGCCACGGCUAACUACGUGCCAGCAGCCGCGGUAAUACGUAGGUGGCAAGCGUUGUCCGGAUUUAUUGGGCGUAAAGCGAGCGCAGGCGGUUUUUUAAGUCUGAUGUGAAAGCCUUCGGCUCAACCGAAGAAGUGCAUCGGAAACUGGGAAACUUGAGUGCAGAAGAGGACAGUGGAACUCCAUGUGUAGCGGUGAAAUGCGUAGAUAUAUGGAAGAACACCAGUGGCGAAGGCGGCUGUCUGGUCUGUAACUGACGCUGAGGCUCGAAAGUAUGGGUAGCAAACAGGAUUAGAUACCCUGGUAGUCCAUACCGUAAACGAUGAAUGCUAAGUGUUGGAGGGUUUCCGCCCUUCAGUGCUGCAGCUAACGCAUUAAGCAUUCCGCCUGGGGAGUACGGCCGCAAGGCUGAAACUCAAAGGAAUUGACGGGGGCCCGCACAAGCGGUGGAGCAUGUGGUUUAAUUCGAAGCUACGCGAAGAACCUUACCAGGUCUUGACAUACUAUGCAAAUCUAAGAGAUUAGACGUUCCCUUCGGGGACAUGGAUACAGGUGGUGCAUGGUUGUCGUCAGCUCGUGUCGUGAGAUGUUGGGUUAAGUCCCGCAACGAGCGCAACCCUUAUUAUCAGUUGCCAGCAUUAAGUUGGGCACUCUGGUGAGACUGCCGGUGACAAACCGGAGGAAGGUGGGGAUGACGUCAAAUCAUCAUGCCCCUUAUGACCUGGGCUACACACGUGCUACAAUGGAUGGUACAACGAGUUGCGAACUCGCGAGAGUAAGCUAAUCUCUUAAAGCCAUUCUCAGUUCGGAUUGUAGGCUGCAACUCGCCUACAUGAAGUCGGAAUCGCUAGUAAUCGCGGAUCAGCAUGCCGCGGUGAAUACGUUCCCGGGCCUUGUACACACCGCCCGUCACACCAUGAGAGUUUGUAACACCCAAAGUCGGUGGGGUAACCUUUUAGGAAC
Molecule: ribosomal RNA, 1421 nt
Filed under: Lactiplantibacillus plantarum
Lineage: Bacteria; Bacillati; Bacillota; Bacilli; Lactobacillales; Lactobacillaceae
Description: bacterial SSU rRNA
Rfam family: Bacterial small subunit ribosomal RNA
Source: RNAcentral